UACGGAGGAUCCAAGCGUUAUCCGGAAUCAUUGGGUUUAAAGGGUCCGUAGGCGGGGAAAUAAGUCAGUGGUGAAAGUCUGCAGCUCAACUGUAGAACUGCCAUUGAUACUGUUUUCCUUGAGUAGUUAUGAAGUGGUUAGAAUGAGUAGUGUAGCGGUGAAAUGCAUAGAUAUUACUCAGAAUACCGAUAGCGAAGGCAGAUCACUAAUAACGAACUGACGCUGAUGGACGAAAGCGUAGGUAGCGAACAGG
RNAcentral lists this unclassified non-coding RNA (253 nucleotides) under uncultured Flavobacteriaceae bacterium. Its description in RNAcentral is "contains 16S-23S intergenic spacer region". It matches the Rfam family "Bacterial small subunit ribosomal RNA", at positions 524 to 776 of the family's 1533-position model. Lineage: Bacteria; Pseudomonadati; Bacteroidota; Flavobacteriia; Flavobacteriales; Flavobacteriaceae. The record is from RNAcentral.